RNAcentral lists this ribosomal RNA (253 nucleotides) under uncultured bacterium. RNAcentral's name for it is "partial 16S ribosomal RNA". It matches the Rfam family "Bacterial small subunit ribosomal RNA", at positions 524 to 776 of the family's 1533-position model. The record is from RNAcentral.
CACGUAGGGGGCAAGCGUUGUCCGGAUUUAUUGGGCGUAAAGAGCGUGUAGGCGGCUAUACAGGUCAGCUGUGAAGACUCGAGGCUCAACCUCGAGACGUCGGUUGAAACCGUAUGGCUAGAGUCCGGAAGAGGAGAGUGGAAUUCCCAGUGUAGCGGUGAAAUGCGCAGAGAUCGGGAGGAACACCAAUGGCGAAAGCAGGUAACUGGACUAUUACUGACACUCAGCUGCGAAAGCUAGGGGAGCAAACAGG